RNAcentral lists this long non-coding RNA (1032 nucleotides) under Columba livia (rock pigeon). RNAcentral describes it as "partial uncharacterized LOC102091018". The record is from RNAcentral. Lineage: Eukaryota; Metazoa; Chordata; Aves; Columbiformes; Columbidae.
GGCCGGACCGCCUCCGGCGCCGUGGUGUCCGAAGCGCUGCAGGACAGCCGGGGGCUCUCCCAGAGCCCCCAAACAGGCGCCUGGCCACAAGCGGCGCUGCCCCUGCAGCCGCCACUAGCCGGAAGGGGCAGCACAGCCACCUCCAGGAGAUGGGCCGGACCAGCAGCUGCUGUGGAGCCACAGCCCCAGAGCACCGGGAGGAGUCCUUAGGAGCCACCACACACUGGGGGACAGCGCCACAGACCCCAGGACACCCGAGGACACCGCUGGAGCUUGCCUUCAAGGAAAAGAAGCCCACUGGAGACCGCCAGAGACUGUCGGAGACCAAAGGACACCGUGGGAUCUGCACCUUGCCUUAAAAAAAGGAAGAGUUUGGAGACUUGGAGACAAAACCUUACGAGGUUUGGUCAGGAAUUCUUGAAAGGACUGCUGGAAGGAUUUUUCGAAGUGUUCUUGCCCCCAAGGUUCAUUAGGUCAGAGGCAUUUGGGCACUCUCCCAAGUCCGGGAGAUGGUUCCACCUUAAGGUAGGAUAGGCUAGGGCUUGGGCAGGUCCUGGGAGGCAUGAGCAGCCUGUGGGACAAGGAGCCGGGUCUUGCUCCCAUGCUCAGAUCGCCAGCACUGGGGUCAGGAAGGAAUUUUUUCCCCAGGGGCAGAUUGGCCCUGGUCCCUGGGGGUUUUUUGCCUUCCUCUGCAGCAUUGAGCAUGACCACUUUGCAGAGCUCCUCUGGGCCCUUUUGGCUCAGAUCCUGCCUGCUGCUCAAGCACCAGGAAGAUGGCCUCUCGUGCCCUGCAGCUGGGGGGAGGAAGGCUUUUUUUUCCCCCAGGUGGGACACCAAGUGUCUCCGGGGGUUUUUUGCCUUCCUCUGCAGCGUUGAGCACGGCCCCUUGCCACGGCUUCUUUGGGCCAUUUGGGCUGGGUGCCUGCUGCUCCACGAGUUGGCCCUAAACUUAGCUAGAACAGCCUACCUACACCAGCAUAGAACAGCUCACCUAAACCAACCUUAAACAACUGCAAACAACUAACCAGCCUU